UACGUAGGGGCCGAGCGUUGUCCGGAGUUACUGGGCGUAAAGCGCGCGCAGGCGGCUCGUCAAGCCUGACGUGAAAGCCCCCGGCUCAACCGGGGAGGGUCGUCGGGGACUGGCGGGCUUGAGGUCGGCAGGGGUUGGUGGAAUUCCCGGUGUAGUGGUGAAAUGCGUAGAGAUCGGGAGGAACACCCGUGGCGAAGGCGGCCAACUGGGCCGGACCUGACGCUGAGGCGCGAAAGCUAGGGGAGCAAACGGG
Molecule: ribosomal RNA, 253 nt
Filed under: uncultured bacterium
Lineage: Bacteria
Description: partial 16S ribosomal RNA
Rfam family: Bacterial small subunit ribosomal RNA
Source: RNAcentral